This 253-nucleotide ribosomal RNA is filed under the name uncultured bacterium. RNAcentral describes it as "partial 16S ribosomal RNA". It matches the Rfam family "Bacterial small subunit ribosomal RNA", at positions 524 to 776 of the family's 1533-position model. The record is from RNAcentral.
UACGUAGGGGGCUAGCGUUGUCCGGAUUUAUUGGGCGUAAAGAGCGUGUAGGCGGCCAUGUAGGUCCGGUGUGAAAACUCGAGGCUUAACCUCGAGAUGUCAUCGGAAACCAUUUGGCUAGAGUCCGGAAGAGGAAAGUGGAAUUCCUGGUGUAGCGGUGAAAUGCGCAGAUAUCAGGAAGAACACCGAUGGCGAAAGCAGCUCUCUGGGACGGUACUGACGCUGAGACGCGAAAGCGUGGGGAGCGAACAGG